GCCGGGAAAGGGCAGGACCCGUGCGUGUGCAGGUCAGUGUGGUGCCUGAUGAGUCUGGGUGUCUACCCACCAACACCACCGGCCCCAGUGUUAAUGCCCAGCUCCCGUGAUCUGUCCCAUGGGCAGGCCGAGGCAGUGCCCGCGGCCACAGUCAUUCCAGGGAGGGGGUCUUGUCUUGUACAAGAGCCGAGGGGUGUUGGGGGUGCAGAGUGUGUCUGCCUCAGUGAGAGGAAGGUGCGGAUCACCAAGUGCAGUGGACAAAGCAGCGAGAUUCUGUGGGGGGCCCGGGAGCGGGGCCAGGGAGGGAGUACAGCCCACACGGGGCCCAGAGGCAAGGCCAGGUGGAGGCUGAGGGGGGAGGGACUGCGGAGAUGGUGGGGAGAGUCAGGCUCGCUCUCUGUGUCUGAAUCUCAGCUUGGACACCACUAGCUGGUGGCCCUGGGAGAUCUGUUCUCGUUGAGUUUCACCUUCCUUACCUGUAAAAUGGGAUGACGAUAACGCCCACCCUGCAGGCCUCCCGUGGGAACUAAAACGUGAUGCCUGGCACACGGCGCUUGCUCAGAAAACAUUACCUGUCCUUGUUACUUUUCCACUCAGUUUCCAAGGUUGAGCUUGUUGUGGAUUCACGGGCAGCUGUGAGAAGUAACACAGUCUCCCCCAACGGAAGCAUCUCACAGUGCGCCACUGGCGGGGGCUCCCCAGCGACGGAGCUUGGGCACAGAGUGUUCCCACCACCGAGAGUCUCCCACCUGCCGUCCUGUGCCACCACAGUGCUCUCCCGCCUCCACCCCACCCUGACCCUGGGGACCACAAACAUGGUACCUGUUUCUAUAGCUUUGUCAUUUUGAGAAUGCCAUACAAACGGAAUCCUCUGGUGUGUAAACUUGUGUUGUUGUUGUUGUUGUUGUUGUUUUGUCACUUAGCAGAAUGUUCUGGAAGUCCAUCCAGGAUGUUGCAUGUAUGGACAGUCCCUUCCAUUCCACUGCUAAGCAGCGUCCGUGUGUGGAUGGGCUCCAGCUGGUCUGAGCACCUGCCCGUUGAAGGACAUCCGGGCUGUUUCCCAUUUGGGGUUAUUAUGAAUAAAGCUGCCAUAAACAUUUGUGCACAGGUUUUUGCAUGAAUGCAAGUUUCUGUUCUCUGACAUAAUGCCCAGGGGUGCAACUGACAGGUUGUUUAGUGGCUGCAUGUUUAGUUUUUAAAGAAACCACCAAACUGUUUUCCAAAGUGGCUGCACCAUUUUGUAUUCCUGCCAGCCCUACCUGAGGGAUCCAGCGUCCCCCUGUCUGCAUCAGCAUUUGGUGGCGUCACUAUUUUUCAUUGUAUCCAUUUCAAUGGGAGUGUAAUGGGGUCUCAUUGCAAUUUUAAUCUGUGCUUCUUCAAUGAAUAAGUAUGUUUUUGUCUUUUAUGUGAUUAAUUGCCAGCUGUAAGCGCUCAGCUGACAUGUUUCUUCGUGUCAUCAGUUCAUCCCCUAAUUAGAUAUUUGUGUUCUUACUGUUGAGUUUGAGAGUUCUUUAUGUAGCCUAGUUACUAGUCCUCUGUCAGAUUUUCAAUUUACAAAUAUUUUCUCCUAGUCUGUAGCUUAUCUUUACAUCUUCUUCCCAGGAUCUUUUGUGAAGCAAAAAUUUAUGUUCACACAAAAACCUGUACCCAAAUGUUUGUAGCAGCUUAAUUCAUGAAAUGGCCCCAAACAGGAAACUGCCCGAUGUUUUUCGACAGGUAGGCACUUAAACAAAGUGUUCCAUUUUUUUGACUUUUUGUCAAUCCAGUGACAUCUGUUGCCUACCACCUGCUCAGAAGUCUGAACAUUUCUGCCCCCUGCAUCCUGGUAUCGGAGGUGCCAGGGAAAACACAACACAGACAAGCAAUGGGUGAAACAAUGCUUUCCUCGCACAGAGACGAGACUUGGCAAAAGCUGCUUCCAUAGUGGGCAUCGGCACGCCCAUGGCCAGCAGGCUCCUCAUGGCAGUUGGUGCAGGGCCGUGGCCUGCAUGCACUUAUCUUGUGCUGCAUCAGGUGGACCCUGUCCCCUCCCUGCAGGUGACAGAGAUAGCAGUGGGCUUGGCCAGGUGCUGUAUGGCGCACACACCUAAGCAGAACAGAGGAGGGCACAUCGCAUCUGAAACAAGGAAAGAUAUCCACACGAGGUGACAAGUCCAGCACAGGCUUUGUGGUACCUUUCCAUCUUGAUAAGGAAAUGUUCCAGGCCCAGCGCUCCUUCCUAUGCAGCCGAGUGUGGGGAUCAGAAGAUUGCAAGCAGGAGACUGUCUUUCCCAACAUAUUUUGACUAAGCCCAGUUUACCCAUGUUUCCUUUUAUGGAUUGUGCUUUUGUGUCAAGUCUAAGAAUUCCUAUGUUUUUUUUUUUUCUAAAAAUUUUGUACUUUUACAUUCCACACGAAGUCCAUGAUACAUUUUGAAUUAAUUUUUGUAUAAGGUAUGAGUCUUAGGUGGACGUUCGUGUUUUUGCCUAUGAAAAAGCAUUCUCUAUGCAUUUAAUGCUAUGCCUUUUCCUCUCAGCACUGCAUUAGCUGUAUCCCAAAAUUUUGAUAUGUUGUCUUUUUGUCUUAAUUCAGUUCAUUUUUUUUUUAUUUCACUCAAGACUUCUUUGACUUGUGGGAUUAUUUUGUUUAGUUUCCAAGUGUUUGAAGAUCUUUCUGUUAUUGGACACUAGUUGGAUUCCAUUGUGGUCAGACUAUGCACUCUGUCUGAUUUUGAUUAUUUUAAAUUUGUUGAGAAUGUUUUAUGUCCUAGAUUAUAUGGCCUAUACUGGCAUAUGUUUCAUGGAUAUUUGGAAAGAAUGUGUAUAAUGCCAUUGUUGCAUGGAAUGUUCUAUAAAUGUUAGUGAGACCCUAAUUGGAUUGAAUUGUUGGCUGAUGGUGUGAUUGAGCACCCCAGGGUUUUUGCUGGUUUUCUAAGCAUUCCAACAAUUGUUAAGAAACUCUCCAACUCUAUUUGUAGGGUAUUUUCUAUUUUUCCUCUCAGUUCUAUCACUCUUGGCUUCACAUAUUUUUGUAGCUGUUUUUGGUGCAAACACAGUUAGCAUUGCUGUGUCUUCUUUUAUCACUAUAUAAUGUCCCUCUCCGUCUCUGUAAUUUUCUUUGCUCUGAGGUCUACUUUAUCUGGCAUUAAUAAAACCAAUUCUGCUUUUUUAAGAUUCAUGUUUGCAUGAUAUAACUUUUUCUACCCUUUCACUUUCAACCUGCCUAUACCAUUAUUAUAUUCUAAAUGAUUUUCUUGUAGAGAGACACCAUAUUAUUGAGCCAUGUUUUUAAAUCCACUUUGAUAAUGUCUGUCUUUUUAUUGGUGUAUUUAGAGCAUUUACAUUUAAUGUAGCUUUUAAUAUGUUAGGGCUUGAGUUUGUCAUUUUAUGUUUUGUUUUCAAUUUAUUCCCUCUGCUUUUUUUAUUUCUCUUGUUUAUACCUCUGUCUUCCUAUGGGUUACUGGAACAGAUUUUAGAAUUCCAUUUUUAGUUAACUAUUGUGUUUAGACGUUUAUCUUUGUAACUUCUAAAUUUCUUUUUUUAUUGUUUCUUUCUUGUUUAGGGGCCUGCCAUUAGCCAUUUAGCCUUUUGGGGUAGGUGUGCAGGUGACAAAUUCUCUUAGUUGUCUUUCCUCUAGGAAUGUCUUUAUUUUCCUUUAAUUCCUGAAGGACUUUUUUACUGAAUGAAGGAUUCUGGGUUGACAGUUCUUUUCUUUCAGCACUUGAAGUAAUUUUUGCCACUUUCUUCUGGCUUCUGUGGUUUCUUUUCUUUUUUAAAACAAAAAUGUUUUAAUGUUCAUUUAUUUUUGAGAGAGAGUGCGAGUGGGGAAGAGACAGUGAGAGAGGGAGACACAGAAUCCAGAACAAGCUCCAGGUUCUGAACUGUUAGCACAGAGCCCAAUGUGGGGCUCAAACCCACAAACUAUGAGAUCAUGACCUGAGCCGAAGUUGGACGCUUAACUGACUGAGCCACUCAGGCAUCCCAGCAUCUGUGGUUUCUGAUAAGAAAUCCAUUGUCAUUAAAAUUAUUUUCCCCUAUAGGUAAGGUGUCUUCUGUCUCUCUUUAAAGUAUAUAUACUUUAUGUAUACUUUAGUUUUCAAGAGGUUUGACUGUGUUGAGCCUUGGUGUGGAUUUCUUUGGAGUGGAGUUUAUCCUGUUUGAGAUUCACUAAAUUUGUUGAAUCUAGUUUAUGUCUUUUGCCAAAUUUGGGAAAUUUUCAGCCAUUAUUUUUCUGAGUACGUUUUCAGUCACGUCCUAAUUCUCUUCCUCCAGGGACUCCAAAAACAUGAAUGGUAGAUCUUUUGUUAUAAUCUACAUGUCCCUGAAACUCUGUUCAUUAAAAAUGUUUUUUUUUCUCUGUUUAGAUUGAGUAGUUUUAUUGUUCAUCUUCAAGUUCACUGAUUAUUUUCACUGAUUCCUCCACACUUCAGUAGAGCCCAUCCAUUGAGUUUUUUAUAUCUGUUAUAUUUUCAUUUUUAAAAUUUCCAUUUUCUUCUUUAUAUGUUCUGUUUCAUUGCUGAAACCCUCUAUUUUAUUUCCUGAUACUUUCUGUCUUUUCAUUUGUUUCAAGCAUAUUUGUGAUUGUUUGUUGAAACAUUCUUAUGAUGGCUGCUUUAAAAUAUCUGUCAGAUAAUUCUAAAAUGUCGAUAUCUCAGUGUUGGCAUCUAUUAAUGAUCUUUUCUCAUUCAGUUUGAGAUACUCCUGGUUCUUGGCAUGAUAAGUGACUUUCACUUGAAAUUUGGACGUUUUUGUUACUAUGUUCUAAGAAUCUUACCUAAAUUUCUGUUGCAGGUGGCUUUCUCUGGCAUUGCUGUGGCAGGGGAAGUGGAAGGUAUCACCUCAUUCAUACCCAGUGGGUGGAUGCCUCAUUACUGCUGGGUAGGUGUGGGAGUUCUGGUUUCCCAUGAAACUUCCACUAAUACCUCCAUGGCUGGGUGGGAGUGCCUCAUUACUGCUCCCCACAUGGCCUCUACUGACACCUUAGGAAUGGGCCAUAGCCUCAUUACUGUUGGGUGUUAGUGAAGACUCCAACUCCCCACCAGGCCUCCUCUGACACCACCUUAUUGGGGCGCCUCCUUACAGCCUCUUGAGGAUAGGAGUAUAGGCUCUCCACUCAGUAUUUGCUGGCAUGGGUGGGGUAGGGCCACGGGUUUUCUGAGGUGUUUGGUUGGAAUAGAGCAAUUAUAGUCUAAAAGUUCUCUGUCUUACUAGGAUGCUCCUUUCCCUGUCCUUUGGCUAGAGAGAAAAGGGAUUCCGCCCCACCCCCCUCCCCCCACCCAAAUCUGUACCAUUGACACUUCUGGACUGCCAGCAUGAUCAGCUCCAAGUCUGGGAUGUAUGAGGCAAAAAGAAAAGCCAGGAAAAUCACCACUAUGUAGUUCCCUGGGUCUCAAGAUCCCUAGCUGGUCUUUCUUCUCCUUAGACUUUUCAGCCUUCUCAUACAUGUUUUAUGUAUAAGGUCCAGGGUUUUUAGUUGUACCUAGCAGGGAGAAAAGAAAAAAAGCCCAUCCACUCCAUCUUCCCGGAAGCAGAAAUCUCUUAUUGUUACUACUUUUUAAGAAAAAAAUAAGGUGCACAAAAUACCCACCCAGUCAUGGAAGAGCAUGUAUCUCCAAAUGUCUUUCUGAAAAGACUGGACAGAAAUACACCAAAAGUUAACAGUGAAGAGAUAUAUACAUAUACAUAUAUACGUAUGUAUGUAUAUACAUAUAUGUGUAUACGUAUAUACAUAUAUAUAUCCCUUUCCUGUAAUUCUCACAUUGUUUAUUAUAAGCAUGUACUAUUUAUAAUUUUAAGUAAGCAACAAAAAUUUCUACUUUUAAAAACAAGCUGCUGGAAAACAAGUGGUUGAGAAGAUAAAAUUAUGGAGAAUAAUGAAGCAGAAAAAAAGAGGGAAGUAAAGGCAAAAGAUCAUGAUACAAGACUUCAAGAACUCAGUGACUUAUUAAAAAGGCAUACCAUCCAAAUCAUAGGAGUCCCAGAAGAUGAAGAGAGAGAAAAAGGGGCAGAAGGUUUAUAUGAGCAAAUUAUGGCAGAAAACUUUUCUAAUCUGGGGAAGGACCCAGACAUCAAAAUCCAAGAAGCGCAGAGAACUCCCAUCAGAUUCAACAAAACCCAACCAGCACCAAGGCAUAUCAUAGUCAAAUUCACAAAGGAAUUUUCACAAGGAAAGAAUUAUGAAAGCAGCAGGGAAAAAUAGUCCUUAACCUACAAAGGAAGACAGAUCAGGUUCGCUGUCGACCUAUCCACAGAAACUUGGCAGCCCAGAAAGGAGUGGCAGAAUAUAUUCAACGUGCUGAAACAGAAUAAUAUGCAGCCAAGAAUUCUUGAUCUAGCCAGACUUUCAUCCAAAAUAAAAGGAGAGAUGAAGAGUUCCCCAAACAAAAACUAAAGGAGCUUGUGACCACUUAACCAACACUGCAAGAAAAUUUAAGGGGAACUCUUUGAGUGGAGAAAAGACAAAACAAAAGAAAACAAAAAGACCAAAAGCAAGAUUAGAAAGGACCAGAGAACAUCAACAGAAACACCAACUCAACAGGCAAUACAAUGGUGUUAAAUUCAUAUCUGUCAGUACUUACUGUAAAUGUCAGUGGAUGAAAUGCUCCAAUUAAAAGACAUAGGGUAUCAGAAUGGAUAAGAAAACAAGACCCAUCUAUAUGCUUCUUACAAGAGACAAGGUACCUAAAGAUACCUGAACAUUGGAAAUAAGGGGAUGGAGAACCAUCUAUGAUGCUAAUGGUCAUCAAAAGAAGGUUGGAGUAGCCAUGCUCCAUAGCCAUAUCAGACAGUAGCCAUAUCAGACAGACUUAGAUUUUAAAAUAAAGACUGUAACAAGAGAUGAAAAAGGGGAUUGUAUCAUAAUUAAGGGUUCUAUCCACCAAGAAGAUCUAACAAAUUAUACAUAUUUAUAUCCCCCAAUAUGGAAUCACCCAAAUAUAUAAAUCAAUUAAUCGCAAACAUAAAGAAACUCAUUGAUAAUAAUACCAUAACAGUAGGGACUUCAACACCCCGCUUACAAAUCAUUGAGGCAGAAAAUCAACAAGGAAACCAUGGCUCUGAAGGACACAUUGGACUGGAUGGACUUAACAGAUAUAUUCAGAACAUUUCACACUAACGCAGCAGAAUACACAUUCUUCUCUAGUGCACAUGGAACAUCUCCAGAAUAGAUUACAUGCUGGGUCACAAAUCAGCCCUCAACAAGUCCAAAAGGAUAGAGAUCAUACUGUGCAUAUUUUCAGACCACAUUGCUAUGAAACUCAAAAUCAACCAUAAGAAAAAAUUUGGAAAGACCAUGAAUACUUGUAGAUUAAAGAACAUUCUACUGAAGAAUGAAUGGGUUAGCCAAGAAAUUAAAGACGAAACUUAAAAGUACAUGGAAACCAAUGAAAACGAAAACACGACAGCCCAAAAUCUCUGGGAUGCAGUAAAGGUGGUCAUGAGAGGGAAUAUAUAGCAAUCCAGACCUUCCUAAAGAAGGAAGAAAGUUCUCAAAUAUACAACCUCACCUUACAGCUAAAAAAGCUGGAAAAAGAACAGCAAAUAAAGCCCAAAACCAGCAGAAGUAAGGAAAUAAUAAUGAUUAGAGCAGAAAUCAAUGAUAUCAAAAUAAAAAAACAAACAAACAGUAGAACAGAUCGAUGAAACCAGGAGCUGAUUCUUUGUAAGAAUUAACAAAAUUGAUAAACCCCUAGCAGAAGAAAAGGGAAAGGACCCCUCCCCCUGCCAAAAAAUAAAAUCAUGAAUGAAAGAGAUCACAACCAGCACCACAGAAAUACAAACAAUAAUAAGAGAAUAUUAUGAGCAUUAUAUGCCAACGAAUUGGGCAAUCUGGAAGAAAUGGAAAAAUUCUUAGAAACAUAUAAACUACCAAAACUGAAACAGGAAGAAGUGGAAAAUUUGAACAGUCCCGUAACCAGUAAAGAAAUUGAGUUAGGAACAAAAAAAAAAUCUCCUAAUAAACAAAAGUCCAGGGCCAGAUGACUUUCCAGGAGAAUUCUACCAAACAUUUAAAGAAGAGUUAACACCUAUUCUUUUGAAGCUAUUCCAAAAAAUAGAAAUGGAAGGAAAACUCCUAAACUCAUUCUAUGAGGCCAGCAUUACCUAGAUUCCAAAACCAAAGACCCCCACUAAAAAAGAGAACUACAGUUUCCCUAAUGAACAUGGAUGCAAAAAUUCUCAACAAGAUACUAGCAAAACAGAUGAAACAAUAGAUUAAAAUAAUUAUUUACCACAGUCAAGUGGGAUUUAUUCCUGGGAUGCAGGGCUGGUUCAAUACCCACAAAUCAGUGUGAUACAUCAGAUUAAUAAAAGAAAGGAUAAGAGCCAUAUGAUCCUCUCAAUAGAUGCUGAAAGAGCAUUUGACAAAAUACAGCAUCCUUUCUUGAUAAAAACCCGCAAGCAAGUAGGGAUAGAGGGAUCAUACCUCAAGAUCAUAAAGACCAUAUACAAAAGAGCCACCACUAAUAUCAUCCUCAAUGGGGAAAAACUGAGAGCUUUCCCCUUAAGGUCAAGAAAAUGACAAGGAUGUCCACUCUUACCACUGUUAUUCAACAUAGUUGGAAGUCCUAGCCUCAGCAAGCAGACAACAACAACAACAACAACAA
Acinonyx jubatus (cheetah) is the source of this 8581-nucleotide long non-coding RNA. RefSeq lists it as uncharacterized. The record is from RefSeq and is a predicted model, not a curated record. The transcript is spliced from 2 exons. Lineage: Eukaryota; Metazoa; Chordata; Mammalia; Carnivora; Felidae.